CCGAUUUCCCCUCAGGUGCCUCCAGGACAACGACUGGGAUUACGGCCAGGCCGGCCAGGUCUUCACCCAGCUCAAGCUCGAAGGGAAGAUUCCCGAGGUCGCUUUUCUCAAGUGAACGUUGGAGAUCCCCGCCCCCUCCCCGGGCCCCGCUCCCGUGUUCGAGUCCUUUCGAUCCCCCCGAGUUUUGUAAAUAAACCGAUCGAUUAUUGAUUA
This is a long non-coding RNA of Onychostruthus taczanowskii (white-rumped snowfinch), 213 nucleotides long. RefSeq lists it as uncharacterized. The transcript has 2 exons. NCBI's taxonomy places the organism in Eukaryota, Metazoa, Chordata, Aves, Passeriformes, Passeridae. The record is from RefSeq and is a predicted model, not a curated record.